UACGUAGGGGGCAAGCGUUGUCCGGAUUCAUUGGGCGUAAAGAGCGUGUAGGCGGCCAGGUAGGUCGGUUGUGAAAACUGGAGGCUCAACCUCGAGAUGUCGGCUGAAACCAUCUGGCUAGAGUCCGGAAGAGGCGAGUGGAGUUCCCGGUGUAGCGGUGAAAUGCGCAGAUAUCAGGAGGAACACCAAUGGCGAAGGCAGCUCGCUGGAACGGUACUGACGCUGAGGCGCGAAAGCGUGGGGAGCGAACAGG
This 253-nucleotide ribosomal RNA is filed under the name uncultured bacterium. RNAcentral's name for it is "partial 16S ribosomal RNA". It matches the Rfam family "Bacterial small subunit ribosomal RNA", at positions 524 to 776 of the family's 1533-position model. The record is from RNAcentral.